CCAAAGAUAGGCUCAUGAAGAUGUUCAUUUCCUCAUGAGGGAGUUCUCUGCCAGUACUGGAGCUAUUGGAAGAAACAAAUUAAAAAGUGUGGACUCCGGCAGAGAAAGAGAAGAAGAAGUAAAAGAGGAAGGAGAGUCCUGGAGUUGGUGGAUGGUCAGGAGAAACCUGCUGCCCAGAGACUUGAUUUACUUUGGCCUGAGGACUGAGGAAUCAGAUGAAAGGAACUUGGGGGAAGCUCAUCUUGGAGCAGGAACAAGGCAAGGUGGAAGCAGCUCCUGCCCUUAUUUCCCUGAGAGCUACAUUGAAGAUAGAGUGAUCUGCAGUAGAGAAUUUAUUAAAUGGAUACAAAUGAGAAACUGAGGCCCAGAGAGGGGAAGAAACUAACCAAAGCUUUCCAGAGGUGGUCACCAAAAUUCCUUCUUCCUCAUCUAAAAGAGCUGGUUCCCCAUAGAUGACUGGGCAAAUACCUGAUUAAACUCUAAAACUGUCAUUCUGCCUUCUACAUGGAGUCAUGUUUCCUAAAUUGUGUUCUGUGUGGUCCUUGAAAUUGAUGGCUAGCAUUGGAAUUAGAACCUGGGUCUUCUGAUUCUCUGGCCAGGGCUCAGAGCAAAAGAGAGUCACCACAUCAUUGGCUUGGGAGUCAAUUGCCAUGGCCUAUGUGGAAAAUCCCCGAUGGCUUGUUUAUGUUCAUAUUGGGCAGUCCUGGCCCUGGCCUGGUCCCAAUGUCCUGACGAAUCUCCCUCUGAUUUCCUGGGUUCAGGGAUGAGGGGGAGGGUGUUAGAGGUAGUUUUUCCACUCACUCCAUCACCCCAGAAAGGAGAACUCUUCUGUGCCACGUAAGCAAACUUUGAACCAUCACUAGUUUACUCUGGUUGAUAGGGAGUAUAUAUCAGAUGUGUGUGCAGCAGGGAACCAGGAAUGGGGGGCAAGGGAAGGAUGCAUGGAGAAAAGGAAUGGAAGUAGAGAUGGAGUAAAGGAGGCAAUCUAGGAAAAUGGGAGACUCAGAAGAGGAUCCAGUGGGUCAGAAGAACUGAGUACUGAAAGGGAGAACAUACAUUUAUUAAGCACCUACUAUGUGCCAGGCCCUGUGCUAAGCACUUUACAAUAUUAUCUCAUUUGAUUCUCAUCACCCUGCGAGAUAGGUGCUUAUUAUUAUUUCAUUUUACAGUUGAGGAAACUGAGGCAGACAAAAGUUGUCACUUGCCCAGGAUCACAUAGAUAAAAAGUGUCUAAGGCUGGAUUUAAACUCAGAUCUUCCUGAGUCCAGGCCCAGAAGUUCACGCACUCUACAUUAUGGCCAAACUCAACUAUUCUCUAUCCCUCUCUCUUAUUUUGCCCAUUUCCAUUUCUAUGACUUCGUGUACAACAUCCAUUAUGCCUGGAAUGGAUUUUUCCUGCCUCCCCCUACCAGUCUCCACCUUUCUUUUCCUUCAAGAUACAACUCAGAUGCCACCUCCUCUAUGAAGACUUUCCUGCCUUCCACCUCAUGUUAAAAUGAUCUCUCCCUACUCAUAUCUUUAAUAGCAUUUUGCCUGGAUUUCUCCUUUGCUCUGAUGUCAUUUUGCUUUUUAUCAUAACUAUAUGUGCCUCUAUUAGAUUGCAAGAUUCUUAAGCAUCAGGGCUUUGUUGCAUCUAUCUCUGUAUCCCCAAUGUCCAACAGGGUGUCUUUCACAUUGUAAGUACUGAAAAAUGCUUGAAUAGAAAUAAAUUGCUUCUUCCCACUUCUUCGCUUAUUCUA
RNAcentral lists this long non-coding RNA (1739 nucleotides) under Phascolarctos cinereus (koala). Its description in RNAcentral is "lncRNA (ENSPCIG00000031857.1)". Lineage: Eukaryota; Metazoa; Chordata; Mammalia; Diprotodontia; Phascolarctidae. The record is from RNAcentral.